AAAAAGACAAACCCUAGUUUCCGUGUCCAACGUUUGACUGUUCGUCUUAUUUGAAAAAAUUAUGAAAAAAAUUAAAAAGACAAGUCACGCAUAAAAUAUUAAUCAUGUUUUAUCAUCUAACAACGAUGAAAAUACGAAUUAUAAAAAAAUUUCAUAUAAGACGGAAAGUUAAAGUUGGACACGGAAACCCAGGGUUUGUCUUUUU
This 205-nucleotide microRNA precursor is filed under the name Oryza glumipatula. Its description in RNAcentral is "MIR812 microRNA precursor family". It matches the Rfam family "MIR812 microRNA precursor family". The record is from Rfam by way of RNAcentral. Lineage: Eukaryota; Viridiplantae; Streptophyta; Magnoliopsida; Poales; Poaceae.